RNAcentral lists this ribosomal RNA (508 nucleotides) under uncultured bacterium. RNAcentral's name for it is "bacterial SSU rRNA". It matches the Rfam family "Bacterial small subunit ribosomal RNA", at positions 11 to 507 of the family's 1533-position model. The record is from RNAcentral.
GUUUGAUCCUGGCUCAGAUUGAACGCUGGCGGCAGGCCUAACACAUGCAAGUCGAGCGCGAAAGGCCUUCGGGCUGAGUAGAGCGGCGGACGGGUGAGUAACGCGUAGGAAUCUACCUGGUAGUGGGGGACAACUUGGGGAAACUCAAGCUAAUACCGCAUACGCCCUAUGGGGGAAAGUGGGGGACCUUCGGGCCUCACGCUAUCAGAUGAGCCUGCGUAGGAUUAGCUAGUUGGUGGGGUAAAGGCCCACCAAGGCGACGAUCCUUAGCUGGUCUGAGAGGAUGAUCAGCCACACUGGGACUGAGACACGGCCCAGACUCCUACGGGAGGCAGCAGUGGGGAAUUUUGGACAAUGGGGGAAACCCUGAUCCAGCCAUGCCGCGUGAGUGAAGAAGGCCUUCGGGUUGUAAAGACGUCUUUCUAGGUGGAAAGAAAGUACACUACCCCGAACUACGGGUAGGUGGAGUGACGGUACCGAUCAGAAGAAGACACCGGCUAACUACGUG